AACUAACGCAUUUUUUGUUACAGUUUCUGUACUAUAUUGGUAAGAGAAACUUCCAGAACACGCUCCGUGUUCGGGCAAAUUUUGGAACAAGAGCCUUCGGGCUC
Molecule: unclassified non-coding RNA, 104 nt
Filed under: Trypanosomatidae sp. 67VL-C
Lineage: Eukaryota; Euglenozoa; Kinetoplastea; Trypanosomatida; Trypanosomatidae
Also listed under: 1 other name
Description: trans-spliced leader sequence
Source: RNAcentral